RNAcentral lists this ribosomal RNA (370 nucleotides) under uncultured bacterium. RNAcentral describes it as "bacterial SSU rRNA". It matches the Rfam family "Bacterial small subunit ribosomal RNA", at positions 527 to 896 of the family's 1533-position model. The record is from RNAcentral.
GAACCGUCCAAACGUUAUUCGGAAUUACUGGGCUUAAAGGGUACGUAGGCGGCGCUGUCAGUCGGGUGUGAAAUCCCACGGCUCAACCGUGGAAUUGCGCCCGAUACUGCAGUGCUUGAGGGAGACAGAGGUAAGCGGAACUGAUGGUGGAGCGGUGAAAUGCGUUGAUAUCAUCAGGAACACCAGUGGCGAAAGCGGCUUACUGGGUCUCUUCUGACGCUGAGGUACGAAAGCCAGGGGAGCGAAGGGGAUUAGAUACCCCCGUAGUCCUGGCCGUAAACUCUGUGCACUUGAUCGAGGGCCCCCCAUAGGCUCUCGGUCGUAGCGAAAGUGUUAAGUGCACCGCCUGGGGAGUAUGGUCGCAAGGCUG